UCCCUGAUAGGAAAUGGUGGUUUAAACUCUCUUAUAGAAAUCCAGUUUCUUCUCCAACUCUGUCGAGUUCUUUCCAAGAUGUUCUGGGUGCUAAUCAAUGGAUGGGAGAUGGUUUUAACUUAAUCCAAUUGUCCAAUUGAUGGUGAUCUACUACCGUUAUUGUUCAAAACUUGAGUUGGGUUGGUAUGCAACGAAGGUUCCAACAGAUUUAAUUACGAUGGUGUUUAUUAAACAUUUGCACUGUAACAGUUAGGUAUAUCACUGCAAUUAGGAAACAUAGGGUAUAUCACUAAUUAGAAAACUGCAAUCAGCUCAUGGUAUAUCACUUAUCUUGAGACAGGUUUGAUUUAUUUUGUUUCUGUUUCUCCAUUGGGAAUUAGGUCAAAUGGGUUUAGGGUUUUUCCAUUGAUAUAUAGGGUUCUUCCAGUUGAGUGUGCAAUCAAAAUUAUAGGGUUUCAGUGUAAUGUGGAAUCAGUUGUUUUUAAUUAUGGUUUGAUAAACAUAAUUGUUCAGGUGAUUCAGAUAUUUUGAAGAACAUCUAAUUGAUACAAAAUAAAUUAAUACCACAUUGAUCUAAUUUGUAUCAUUGUCAUAUGCCAAGUCUAUUUUUUCAACUAAAUUGGUCCACUUGUUGCAGCCAAGAUCAAUUCAUUGAUACCAAUGUUGUUACUUUUAAUUUUUUGAUUGAAAACCUAUUUUCUGGAAAAACAUAGUGCUAUUGUUACAGAGGUUCAUACUCGAAUGUUUUUUUAUGGAUGUCAACGUAUAUUUUGAGAUUUAACUUUAGACUAUGAAGAGUAAUUGUGUCAAGCAAAGUAUGAUAAUAUGAUGCAGUUUGUUAUGUUCUUUUCGUUGCUACUUCAGGGGUAGAGAUCCUUCUGUUCAAGGGGAUUGCAAGUACAAUCCCAUGAAAAUGGUAAAUACUUGGGCGGUAUGAGGUAAAGCAAACCUUCACACACUCACUACAUUGUUUCUGAUUUAUUUGAGUUGCCAGUGACACGAACUUUCGCUCUCAUAUCUUUGGAUUCAGGUUUUUACUUUUGAUUUUGCAAGUGCUUCUAAUACUAGAAAUCCUUGUACUAUGUGAUCUAUUGUACGUUGUAGCCUUGUGCAAGACGUCAAUGAUUCCUGCUGAAGUAGAGUUGCUACUAUGUUAUCUCUGUCUUUGCCUUAAGAUACAAAUUUGUUAACUGCAAUUUUCAAAGUAAAGACUAGAUUCUCAUAUUUCAGGCUUGCUCACCAGAUUGGGGUCCUGAUCUGCCUUCAUCAUUAGUAAUUUUUCCUAAAAUUUAGGUAACCCAGAACUAACUUAGAUUUCUUAUGAUAUAUUAGAUUUGAAAUGGAUUCAGGGACAACAUGUCAACAACCGACUGAUGUGAAAUCGGAUAUUGCUCAUCUCUUUCCCUUUCUAUUACCGAGUCAAGAAUAUGGUACACUGUUACUUUACCAUCAUUAUUUAUGCGGGUGUACUCCAACAUUAUUUAUGUAGUCAUUCGUUAGAAAGCCGGGACAUAUUAAGAAUAACCACUCUCUAAAAUGAAUAUAAAAGAAUACAGUUUGAACGGAGAAUGUCUUUAGGAGGUGCAGAGCAAAUUUAUUGGAGGUUCAGGGAAGGCAUUAAAUGCAUAAUGCAUGGCUAUAAGUGAUGCAGUAAAUUGGUGCUGGGAGCUAGAGCUAAAGGAUGUAUUGAUGGAGACAGGCUUGAAAGGAAUAAUUGAAUUUUAUGCUGGAAAUGUCAACACCAUCUCACAACCGAACUCAAUGUCCUUGUAGAUACUGCAGAGAAACUUAAUGAAACUUUAUGUUCUUAAAUAGAAACUGUAAUAAACUAGAUGAUUGGCCGGCUAAGUUAAGUAUGAAAUUUCAUGUGUCUUUAGAUUGGUCAGAUAGACAAAUUCUUUGCAUCAAGAAAUUCUAAUUUUUUA
This is a long non-coding RNA of Papaver somniferum (opium poppy), 1925 nucleotides long. RefSeq lists it as uncharacterized. NCBI's taxonomy places the organism in Eukaryota, Viridiplantae, Streptophyta, Magnoliopsida, Ranunculales, Papaveraceae. The transcript is spliced from 2 exons. The record is from RefSeq and is a predicted model, not a curated record.